RNAcentral lists this microRNA precursor (94 nucleotides) under Nicotiana attenuata. Its description in RNAcentral is "MIR6152 microRNA precursor family". It matches the Rfam family "MIR6152 microRNA precursor family". Lineage: Eukaryota; Viridiplantae; Streptophyta; Magnoliopsida; Solanales; Solanaceae. The record is from Rfam by way of RNAcentral.
UGGACAGAUUAUUGUAUUCGACUGUAUUCACGGCGUGAAAUAGGGGAUUACACUGUUUUUACGGAAAGCGAAUCAAUUGACAUAAUCGACUCCU